ACGCAACUGGUCCAGAACCUUGACCGAACGCAGCGGUGGUAACGGCGCAGUGGCGGUUUUCAUGGCUUGUUAUGACUGUUUUUUUGUACAGUCUAUGCCUCGGGCAUCCAAGCAGCAAGCGCGUUACGCCGUGGGUCGAUGUUUGAUGUUAUGGAGCAGCAACGAUGUUACGCAGCAGGGCAGUCGCCCUAAAACAAAGUUAACCGGCUCACCUAGGCGACGAUCCCUAGCUGGUCUGAGAGGAUGACCAGCCACACUGGAACUGAGACACGGUCCAGACUCCUACGGGAGGCAGCAGUGGGGAAUAUUGCACAAUGGGCGCAAGCCUGAUGCAGCCAUGCCGCGUGUGUGAAGAAGGCCUUCGGGUUGUAAAGCACUUUCAGCGGGGAGGAAGGCGGUGAGGUUAAUAACCUCAUCGAUUGACGUUACCCGCAGAAGAAGCACCGGCUAACUCCGUGCCAGCAGCCGCGGUAAUACGGAGGGUGCAAGCGUUAAUCGGAAUUACUGGGCGUAAAGCGCACGCAGGCGGUCUGUCAAGUCGGAUGUGAAAUCCCCGGGCUCAACCUGGGAACUGCAUUCGAAACUGGCAGGCUAGAGUCUUGUAGAGGGGGGUAGAAUUCCAGGUGUAGCGGUGAAAUGCGUAGAGAUCUGGAGGAAUACCGGUGGCGAAGGCGGCCCCCUGGACAAAGACUGACGCUCAGGUGCGAAAGCGUGGGGAGCAAACAGGAUUAGAUACCCUGGUAGUCCACGCCGUAAACGAUGUCGAUUUGGAGGUUGUGCCCUUGAGGCGUGGCUUCCGGAGCUAACGCGUUAAAUCGACCGCCUGGGGAGUACGGCCGCAAGGUUAAAACUCAAAUGAAUUGACGGGGGCCCGCACAAGCGGUGGAGCAUGUGGUUUAAUUCGAUGCAACGCGAAGAACCUUACCUGGUCUUGACAUCCACAGAACUUUCCAGAGAUGGAUUGGUGCCUUCGGGAACUGUGAGACAGGUGCUGCAUGGCUGUCGUCAGCUCGUGUUGUGAAAUGUUGGGUUAAGUCCCGCAACGAGCGCAACCCUUAUCCUUUGUUGCCAGCGGUUAGGCCGGGAACUCAAAGGAGACUGCCAGUGAUAAACUGGAGGAAGGUGGGGAUGACGUCAAGUCAUCAUGGCCCUUACGACCAGGGCUACACACGUGCUACAAUGGCAUAUACAAAGAGAAGCGACCUCGCGAGAGCAAGCGGACCUCAUAAAGUAUGUCGUAGUCCGGAUUGGAGUCUGCAACUCGACUCCAUGAAGUCGGAAUCGCUAGUAAUCGUAGAUCAGAAUGCUACGGUGAAUACGUUCCCGGGCCUUGUACACACCGCCCGUCACACCAUGGGAGUGGGUUGCAAAAGAAGUAGGUAGCUUAACCUUCGGGAGGGCGCUUACCACUUUGUGAUUCAUGACUGGGGUGAAGUCGUAACAAGGUAACCGUAGGGGAACCUGCGGUUGGAUCACCUCCUUA
This 1483-nucleotide ribosomal RNA is filed under the name Klebsiella pneumoniae. RNAcentral's name for it is "16S ribosomal RNA". It matches the Rfam family "Bacterial small subunit ribosomal RNA". The record is from RNAcentral. Lineage: Bacteria; Pseudomonadati; Pseudomonadota; Gammaproteobacteria; Enterobacterales; Enterobacteriaceae.